GAACACAAAAUGGCGACACGUGAGGAAGACAAACAUAAAGAUGAAGUGCUUAAUUCAAGGUCACACAAUGUCGGGGAUGGACCUCCAGAUUUCCUUACUGACCUGCAUUAUCUUGUGGAUACCUGAGUGAAUUCCACACCACCCAUUUUAUAGAUGAAACCACUGAGACAUGGAGCAAUUGACUGAGUAGUCACUGCCCCACCCCUGCCUGGAGCCUCACACAUGACUCGCCUCCUCUCAGUGACCACAGGUUGGUUGAGGGGUUUAACAAGGCUAAGAAGGAAAACAAGCUCAGGGCUCCCACUGAUUGUACAUUAUGAGACGGAGUCUUGCUAUGUUGCCCAGGCUGGUCUUGAACUCCUCACCUCAAGCGAUCCUCCCGUCUUGGCCUCCCAAGUGUCAGGAUUACGGGCAUGUGCUAUCACACCCAACCUGAUACAUUGCCUUUAUAAAUUUUUUUUUCUUUAUUCUAAAAACCAGAAAAAACAAAACUGGAUACAUGUGCAGAACAUGCAGGUUUGUUACAUAGCUGUACGUGUGCCAUGGUGGUUUGCUGCACCUAUUGACCUAUCCUGUGAGACGUGGUCUUGUAACACAGUGGUUAAGAAUGUGACUUUGGAGCCAGCCUGCUAGGGGCUGAAUUCUGACUCAGCCAUUUACUAACUGUGUGACCUUAGGCUGGAGUGCAAUGGCAUGAUCUCGGCUCAUCACAACCUCUGCUUCCUGGGUUCAAGCGAUUCUCCUGCCUCAGCCUCCCGAGUACCUGGGACUACAGGCACUCGCCACCAUGCCCGGCUGAUUUUUGUAUUUUUAAUAGAGAUGGUUUCACUAUGUUGGCCAGGCUGGUCUCGAACUCCUGACCUUGUGAUCUGCCCACCUCAGCCUCGAAAAGUGCUGGGAUUACAGGCGUGAGCCACUGCGCCCAGCCUUGUAUUUUUUUUCAGUUUGGGUAGCUGUCCCUAAUUCAUUUGUUAAAGGAGAAGCAAGAGCAAGAACCUUUAAUCUGUUCUCCUCUUCCCUAAUUUGAAAGUAGCUUGUUAUUUUGAAUAUCACUUUCUCUGAAAUAGCACAUCUCCAUCUCAGAGAAUGGAUUUAAUGUUUGGAUACAGCCAAAAGUCAUUUCAUUACCAAACCAUGGGGUGAAUAUACCAUGUAAAGCAGUUUGGGAUCAGAACUCACAGUCUGAAUUGUAAGUGAUGAGACUGCUGUCUCUCUGCUACAGCUUCUUGGCUGGCUCUGAAGGCUCUUUGAAGGCAGAUCCUAACAAGGGGACUGCUUUGAAGGGCCAUUGUUCAUUUGGAAUGAUAAAGUCUAUGUUGUUCAAAAAACAAAUGCUUGUAGCAGGUAUUUUUUCACUCCAGACUGAGAAUAUUGGUGGGAUAUUGAUAAGGGGUACUGAAUGGUAAUAAACAUGUGCUCUAGCUCUGUGCUAGUCAGCUUAUUUCAGAACUCUAGUUUGAUUCAGUUUCUUGCCUCUGACUCAAAAUGGAGGGAGAGUGAUUUUUACAUAAGAGAACACACCCACAUAUCCUUUUGGCAGCAGCUACCUGCCAGAGAUGUUGAAGAAGAGUAGCCAACCUUUACACAGCAGAUAUUGUGUGCCAGUCAUAGUCCUAAGUAUAAUACCUUACAUGUAUAAACUUCUUAUAAGGUUGGUGCUCUGUACCGAAUUGAAUAGUAUCCCCCAAAAUUCAUGUUGUCCCAGAACCUAUGAAAGUGAUCUUACUUGAGGGAGGGGGGAGGGGGGAGGGAUAGCAUUAGGAGAUAUACCUAAUGCUAAAUGACGAGUUAAUGGGUGUAGCACACCAGCAUGGCACAUGUAUACAUAUGUAACUAACCUGCACAUUGUGCACAUGUACCCUAAAACUUAAAGUAUAAUAAUAAUAAAAUAAAAAAAAAAAAGAAAGUGAUCUUACUUGGAAAUAAGGUCUUUGCACAUAUGAUCAAGUUGAGAUGAAGUUGUACUGGAAAGUCUGUCUAGUGACUGGUGUUGUCAUAAGAAGAGAGGGACACAGAGGGAAGAUGGCCACAUGAAGAUGGAGGCAGAGAUUGCAGUUAUGCUGCUGCAAACUAAGGAAUGGCUCUGGCCCUCCAAGGAUUGCUGAUAACCACCAGAAACUAGAAGAGACAAGGAAGGAUUCUUCCCUAGAGCCUUCAGAGGGAGCAUGGCCCUACUGACACCUGGAUUUCAAACUUGUAGCUUCCUAAACUGCAAG
Homo sapiens (human) is the source of this 2216-nucleotide long non-coding RNA. Ensembl annotates it as PCBP1 antisense RNA 1. Its record names the gene PCBP1-AS1. NCBI's taxonomy places the organism in Eukaryota, Metazoa, Chordata, Mammalia, Primates, Hominidae. The record is from Ensembl.